Molecule: long non-coding RNA, 232 nt
Filed under: Capsicum annuum
Lineage: Eukaryota; Viridiplantae; Streptophyta; Magnoliopsida; Solanales; Solanaceae
Description: long non-coding RNA (CANN_LNC005783)
Source: RNAcentral
UAGACAGUCCAUAUUAUUACAUCAAAAGAAAUAAAGAGGUUGUUUCUGAUAGAUCAUCCGCUAUCAAAAUAAUAUGAUAUAACGCUAAAACAAAUAAGUGCAAACAUUGACGACAAGCUAAGAGUCUUCAUAUGAUUUACGCGUUAAAAUUCCUUAAUCCAACAUAUUUUAUCAGUCUUGUAAAUUGUAAUAAAGAGAUUUUACAUGCAAGUAUAAUUAAUGUUCUUAAAUU